UGCGUAGGCGGAUUGAUAAGUCAGUGGUGAAAACCUACAGCUUAACUGUAGAACUGCCAUUGAUACUGUUAGUCUUGAGUACGGUCAAGGUAGGCGGAAUGUGUAAUGUAGCGGUGAAAUGCUUAGAUAUUACACAGAACACCGAUUGCGAAGGCAGCUUACUGGACCAUUACUGACGCUGAGGCACGAAAGCGUGGGGAGCGAACAGGAUUAGAUACCCUGGUAGUCC
RNAcentral lists this ribosomal RNA (229 nucleotides) under uncultured bacterium. Its description in RNAcentral is "partial 16S ribosomal RNA". It matches the Rfam family "Bacterial small subunit ribosomal RNA", at positions 568 to 796 of the family's 1533-position model. The record is from RNAcentral.